This 818-nucleotide long non-coding RNA is filed under the name Olea europaea (common olive). RNAcentral describes it as "long non-coding RNA (OEUR_LNC002772)". The record is from RNAcentral. Lineage: Eukaryota; Viridiplantae; Streptophyta; Magnoliopsida; Lamiales; Oleaceae.
GAUGGUGACAUUUUACGAUAUCCCCGAUCAGUAUAUCCCGAUGACUAAUUUUGGUAAAGUUGUAAAUCCAUCCAUGGUGUCCUCGAGCAUGUUCGUCCUCGAGACACAAGUCCCGACCACAUCUCCAUCACGCUUCGCAUAUUGCAAAGAUGUGUCCUCGGGCACUGUCCUCGGGAAUAUGCUCCUCCUUACUGCUGACGAUUGUUCAUCCUUUAGAAUUCCUACGCAAUUAGGAAUCUUAACUCCCACAAGAGUCCUAUCUCACGCACAAUUCUGGAAUUCAACCAACUCCUUAACCAGCAGGACUCCAACAGAUGAGGACAUCCAGCUAGUUGAGCCCAAUUAGGAGAAUGUCACUUACUACUAUAAAUACAGAACUUUGAACCAUUAUUCAGGUACGUUUUCUCAUUGUUCUUCAGCAUAUAGCCUCACGCAUAUAUUUCCCUUUCUGACUUAAGCAUCGGAGGGGCGACGAGAACACACCUCGUUGCCUUUGUUUCAGGUAUCGGAAGAUCACGUUCGUGCUCAUCAUCAGUCAUCAAGCUCGGAAAAUCUACAGGUACGAUUUUUGGUAGCAUCAUUGGCGCCGUCUGUGGGAAGCGCUACCAAAAGUCAUGGUAAACACACGAUCAGGUCUUCCACCCGCAAGCUCAUCCGCUCCAAACCAACCCCCUCCUGAGGAUAUCCCUGUUCCUCAAGAGGAAUCAUCAGAAGUGCCAGAGCCCCAGCCCGCAGUCGUCACUACCAUAGCCUUUGAAGAGCUCAGACAACAGGUCGCCACACUGACUCAGCUGCUAAGUCAAAGAAAUUCGCAUCCA